UCCAUAAAGUGUGGAACUCUGGGGUCUCACUAAGAACAAGAUUUAAAGUCAGACGAGUUCCAAAGAUACUUCCUGAAGAGACUCUUGGAUUUUGCCUGUGACAGCCCUCCCCAGGACGAGGAAGGCAGCCUCCCCUUGGGACAGCACUCUACGGACUUCUCAGUGUUGGAAAGAGCUGGGACUCCUACAGGGAAUUCCUACUCUUCAUAUUUGUUCUCUGCUAAACCAGAGGAGACACAUCUUGCUCUAGAGUUCCCCAGAACCUGCUCUUCUGGGUCAGCCUCCUGCUGUCUUAUUCUUCCAUCUUUUCUCCACCUAUGCCCAAAGCACAACCAAGGUCACUUUGUUUCUUGAGCUGAGUUCACGCUGGAGCAUGCAAUGCAACAGAGCUUCUAUUUCCUGGCAGAUGGACCAUGAGCCUGGGCCAGAGAAUCUGGUGCUGAGCUGCUGCAGUCAGCUGAGCUGCUUACGUAACCUGAAGGCUCUCCUGGGAGGACCAUGCUGUGAAAGGCAGCUCUGGUUUGCUUCCCCUCAGAUAAUGUUUAUAUGGCCUUUUGGUCAGAGAAGAAGCAAAGAUAAUCCCCCUGACCCUCAGGUUGAGGAGACACAGAUCGGCCUUUGCUGAGGGUAGCACAGCAAAUGAGGAUGCAUCUCCCAGCAGGUGACGUGCCCGGUCCUGUGACUCAUGCCCUUUAUCCCAGUAAGUGAUCUGGCUCUGGUAAAGUGCCCUAGGGAGCCUUGCCUGGACAAGGAGCACCUCGUGAUAGUCUGCCCUGUGCAACCCGCUGCUGUUUCUGACGAGGUUAAGCUGGAUUCAAAUGCUAGGUGACAGGACCUUGCCUUGCACGAUGGUUUCUUACCCCACAAUAUUCAUCUCAGGGGUGAGCAGGCUAGCAACAUUCUUGGAUGACAUGGCCAUUCUGGUGAGAUGGUAAAUGCCUGGGGCCUGGACUCUGAAGAUCUUCACGAGGUCACUCCCGCAUGACUGUCCUGAAUAGGCAAAGCAGUCUGCCUGAUGUAGCCACCCCACUUUCUAGGGUCAAUGACCCAUCUGCGGCUCCCAGCCUGGGAGUCCUAGAUGCUUAGAUUAGGUUCUUUUUCUCUCUUAGGGUCAAAUGCAAACAAAAAUGCUGUGAGACGCAGGACAUCAGGGGCAUCCCAGGGCCUGAAUAUUCUUACUCUGACCAGAGCCGGCUCCGGGCAGCUGUCAGCCAUGCCUUAAAAAUCAGAAGUCUGCACACUUUUUCCGUAAAGGGCCAGGUAUUAAAUCUUUCAGGUUCAUGGGCCACAUGUGGUCUCAGAUGCAACUACCCAGCACUGCCAUUGUGGCAUGGAAGCAGCCAUAGAGACUUUGUAAAUGAAUGGGCACGGUGGCAUUCCAAUAAAACUUCAUUUACAAAAACAA
Homo sapiens (human) is the source of this 1405-nucleotide long non-coding RNA. RefSeq lists it as uncharacterized. NCBI's taxonomy places the organism in Eukaryota, Metazoa, Chordata, Mammalia, Primates, Hominidae. The transcript is spliced from 3 exons. The record is from RefSeq and is a predicted model, not a curated record.